This 77-nucleotide transfer RNA is filed under the name Escherichia coli K-12. RNAcentral describes it as "tRNA-His". The record is from RNAcentral. Lineage: Bacteria; Pseudomonadati; Pseudomonadota; Gammaproteobacteria; Enterobacterales; Enterobacteriaceae.
CAGUUGUCGUGGGUUCGAAUCCCAUUAGCCACCCCAUUAUUAGAAGUUGUGACAAUGCGAAGGUGGCGGAAUUGGUA